RNAcentral lists this unclassified non-coding RNA (86 nucleotides) under Mucilaginibacter polytrichastri. Its description in RNAcentral is "Flavo-1 RNA". Lineage: Bacteria; Pseudomonadati; Bacteroidota; Sphingobacteriia; Sphingobacteriales; Sphingobacteriaceae. The record is from RNAcentral.
AUUUAGCUCUCAAACUCUUCGCGUUAGGGAUAGUAGUGGAAAGGCCGGAGCGGAGCGAGGACUUGUAGCGGAUAGCCCGGCCGAAG